RNAcentral lists this ribosomal RNA (600 nucleotides) under uncultured bacterium. RNAcentral describes it as "bacterial SSU rRNA". It matches the Rfam family "Bacterial small subunit ribosomal RNA", at positions 879 to 1482 of the family's 1533-position model. The record is from RNAcentral.
AGUACGAUCGCAAGAUUAAAACUCAAAGGAAUUGACGGGGCCCCGCACAAGCAGCGGAGCAUGCGGCUUAAUUCGACGCAACGCGAAGAACCUUACCAAGGCUUGACAUAUACAGGAAUAUGGCAGAGAUGUCAUAGCCGCAAGGUCUGUAUACAGGUGGUGCAUGGUUGUCGUCAGCUCAUGUCGUGAGAUGUUGGGUUAAGUCCCGCAACGAGCGCAACCCUCGUUCUGUGUUGCCAGCAUUUAGUUGGGGACUCACAGGAGACUGCCGGGGUUAACUCGGAGGAAGGUGGGGAUGACGUCAAAUCAUCAUGCCCCUUAUGUCUUGGGCUGCACGCAUGCUACAAUGGCUGGUACAAACGGCUGCGAUACCGCAAGGUGGAGCGAAUCCGAGAAAGCCAGUCUCAGUUCGGAUUGGGGUCUGCAACUCGACCCCAUGAAGUCGGAGUUGCUAGUAAUCGUAGAUCAGCAACGCUACGGUGAAUACGUUCCCGGGGCUUGUACACACCGCCCGUCACAUCACGAAAGUCGGUAACACCCAAAGUCAGUGGCCCAACCGCAAGGAGGGAGCUGCCAAAGGUGGGAUCGGUGAUUGGGAUG